AACGCCUCGCGCACGCCUCGGUAACGUUACUUAGUGGAGUUCGUGUUACGCACGUGUGUUGGAAAUAUGUAUUUGGAGAGAAUCUCAAAUGAUCUGUGUAUAGGAAAUACAUGAGCAGUAAACAUUUCGUCGUUUGUUAAAGGAGACGAUGUCCGAGAUUCAUCUACCUGAAAAAAUUAGGAUUUCUCUCUGAUCGCGACAAACUGAAUGUUCGUUUAAGCUGCACGUACUUUGAGACUGAGCGACCAUUGGUCCUUAUGGAAAGACAGUGUUAUUGUCCUCCAAAAAUUCCAUGACUCACAUUUCUGGAAAAUUCUUCGUCAAUGGAAAAUCAAGUUUAUUGUCGUUCAAAAGCAGCAGCAAAAGUCUUGCAACAAACUGUGACUUUGCUGCCGUGGAUCGGUUCCGUGCGCCGAUGGCACAGCUCUGAUGACACUCACUGGGGGCUUUACAACACCUCCAGAGGCUCGUCAUCCGUCAGUGAGUUGUUGUCUGAGUCUGACCCGCUCCCUUUAUCUUUGAGACAACUGACUGUGAGGUCAAGAGAGCCUCGAUAUCAGAGAUAAGUGCUGUCAUUUCACAACUUGUCAGUCUUACCACACUACACUACAUUACCAUGAAGAUAAAAAUCCUAUCCAUAAAACUGCACUUCAUGGCACGUUGAGGGGCUGCCCAACUUAAAACACCAUUCCUUGAGAUUGGGACCAAAAUAUGGUAUUCCCCUGAUGGUUAUUUUUGUCCAACUGAAGCAUGUGGACAUGAUCCAGGAGUGACUCAGUCCAGAUGCAGUUUGGCCUGAGCAGCCUGGAGCUGCUGAACUAUGAAGACCCCUGCCUCUCCUCUGUUGCCUUUAACGGUCUGUACUCCCUGAACAAACGAACAGUGCAUUACAAACAAUAGCUUGAAAAUCCAAGCUUCUGCUGCAAGGUCUCCAUGUAGCUCAGGUCCAUUAAAUAACAUUAACAGAUGAAACUUUUCAUUUUAAUAAUACAUUAGUAAACUCACUCAAAUUCUUUGUGUGUGUAAAUAAAGCUCUUUCUGACUUCUGACUUAAAAUUCACUAAGAUUUAUAACGUUUCACUGUUAUUUCAUGCUAGCUAAUGUUUACAAAUGGAACCUUAUUGUAACGUGUUACCAUUGAUUUGAAUCUGCUGACAUCCCUAGUUUCUGUUUCAGAACGUUUGGAUCAAGACAAGCAUGUUAAGGAAGAUAAGACUCAAUUCUGAAUUUAUUUGAUUUUUAUGCAGCAAAUCCCUCUAUAUUUUUGUCCUGUCUCUGUGUUUUCUAGUAGGAUAUCCACUCAGAGUCUGUGCAGAAUCAGUACCCAGGGCUGAGCAGUGUCUGUCUCUCAUGGGAGUGAAGGCGGAGUUGGAGUCUGUCAGGAUCAUGGGAGAGCAGACAGCAGAAUCUUCAAGAAUCAGGUGUUUCUUCAACUUCAGCAUCUGCCUCGAUGUGUGUCUUUUAAACAUAAAGCAACAUUUCAUUGAAGAUGGAAAAUGGAAAUAAAUUGUUAAUAGAAAACAGUUGCUUAUUCUAAAGAGCUUGAGAAACAUGACUUGCUUUUUACUUUAAUACAUUGUGCCAAUGAUAUUUUAUCCCAUCAGUAUUUAAUUGACUCUUUACAAAGUGCUAUAGAGUUAAAAUAGUAUAUUCACUCAUGGUCUCUUUGUAAAUAUAUUUUCCAUUAAAUUAAUGAAAUGAAAAAG
Cyprinus carpio (common carp) is the source of this 1706-nucleotide long non-coding RNA. RefSeq lists it as uncharacterized. NCBI's taxonomy places the organism in Eukaryota, Metazoa, Chordata, Actinopteri, Cypriniformes, Cyprinidae. The record is from RefSeq and is a predicted model, not a curated record. The transcript is spliced from 3 exons.